Molecule: long non-coding RNA, 571 nt
Filed under: Medicago truncatula (barrel medic)
Lineage: Eukaryota; Viridiplantae; Streptophyta; Magnoliopsida; Fabales; Fabaceae
Description: long non-coding RNA (MTRU_LNC006670)
Source: RNAcentral
UACAACAGAGCUGUGAAAGCAAUCCAUGAAUUUUAAUUUGUGUGAUGGGCUCAUACAACAGGUGAUUACUCACCCAAUUUUGGUACCGGUAUAUAAUUUUAGAUGGACUCAACCUGCGAACGAUUUUUUUCAAAUUGAAUGUGGAUGCAGCGGGACCUAAUGAGGAUGGUAAAUGGGACGCAGAGGGUGUAGUUGUCGCAGCAGCAGGAGGUAUGGCAGGCAAUAUUGAAAGGAAUCGAGCUCGCGAAGGACUUAUUGUACCUCCUCAAACUUAGUGUAGAAUCAGACUCAUCUAAUGUCAUUGCCGCUAUUAACGACUCACAACAGAAAUAUCUUACUUUAAAAUUUCCAUAUAUGCGAAUCAAGCUGCUCAUUUCUUAGUUAAAUUAUUUGCUUUUACAUCUUGUUCUGAAUUUGAUUGGGUUGAAGAAAUUCCUCCUUGUAUUUAUGCUAUCGUGCCUUUUGAUUUAUUUUCACCUUUUUUUUUUAUCAAGGAUUUAUUGUCACCUUUGAUUUAAUAAAAACAGUCACUUUAACAACAAUAAAAAACAUGUAGUUUAAAAGUGGUUUA